CACGUCAUUAAAAUGCAAUGCACGCGUGCACACACACACACUCUUGAUUCUAUGGGUGGUGGUGCAUGGCCGUUCUUAGUUGGUGGAGCGAUUUGUCUAAUUAAUUCCGUUAACGAACGAGACCUCAGCCUGCUAACUAGCUAUGCGGAGGUAUCCCUUCGCGGCCAGCUUCUUAGAGGGACUACGGCCUUUUAGGCCGCGGAAAUUUGAGGCAAUAACAGGUCUGUGAUGCCCUUAGAUGUUCUG
Molecule: ribosomal RNA, 246 nt
Organism: Nicotiana attenuata
Lineage: Eukaryota; Viridiplantae; Streptophyta; Magnoliopsida; Solanales; Solanaceae
Rfam family: Eukaryotic small subunit ribosomal RNA
Source: Rfam